UCUCCGUAGGUGAACCUGCGGAGGGAUCAUUACAGAGUUCAUGCCCUCACGGGUCGAUCUCCCACCCUGUGUUAUUAUACUUUGUUGCUUUGGCAGGCCGCCCGCGUGGGCUACCGGCUCCAGCUGGUAAGUGCCUGCCAGAGGACCCCAAACUCUGAAUAUUUUAUUGUCUGAGUACUAUAUAAUAGUUUAAAACUCUCAACAACGGAUCUCUUGGUUCUG
This 222-nucleotide unclassified non-coding RNA is filed under the name plant metagenome. Its description in RNAcentral is "partial contains small subunit ribosomal RNA, internal transcribed spacer 1, and 5.8S ribosomal RNA". The record is from RNAcentral.